GGGGCUGUAGCUCAAUUGGCAGAGCGCGGGACUCCAAAUCCCGUGGGUGGGGGUUCGAGUCCUCCCAGCCCCG
RNAcentral lists this transfer RNA (73 nucleotides) under Aquifex aeolicus VF5. It matches the Rfam family "tRNA". Rfam says of the family: Transfer RNA (tRNA) molecules are approximately 80 nucleotides in length. Their secondary structure includes four short double-helical elements and three loops (D, anti-codon, and T loops). The record is from Rfam by way of RNAcentral. Lineage: Bacteria; Pseudomonadati; Aquificota; Aquificia; Aquificales; Aquificaceae.